Molecule: long non-coding RNA, 849 nt
Filed under: Capsicum annuum
Lineage: Eukaryota; Viridiplantae; Streptophyta; Magnoliopsida; Solanales; Solanaceae
Description: long non-coding RNA (CANN_LNC002577)
Source: RNAcentral
CAAACAACAACAACAACAACAACAACAAACCCAGUGUAUUCCCACCUAGUGGGGUCUGGGGGGGUAAGAUGUACGCAGUCUAUACCUCUACCUCUAAAGAAGUAGAAAGGCUGUUUCCGAUAGACCCCCGGCUCAAGGCACGAGAUACCACACAAACACAUAGUAAAGCACAGAAGCAGAUUACAUAACAUAAAUACGGCACCCAUAAGUAAUAUAAAACAGAGGAAAGCGCACAGAUUCGUAAUAAAACAUGGAACACGGAACACGGAAUCAUAACAGGAAUAAAACUCCCACUGAGUAAUUCCCUACCCUAGCGACCCAAACUGGCCCUAGUCCUCUGCCCUACUUCGCGUCUUCCAUACCUUCCUCAACGCUAGCCUCUCACACCUACGGACCGGGGCAUCCAUGCCCCUCCUCUUCACGUGUCCGAACCAUCUCAAUCGGGCUCCCCGCAUCUUGCACUCCACUGAAGUCACACCAACCUUCUCUCAGAUAGUCUCAUUCUGAACUCUAUCCCCUCUAGUCAGCGCACACAUCCAGCGCAACAUCCGCAUUUCUGCCACCUUCAUUUUUUGGAUGUGGGAGUUCUUAACUGGCCAACACUCCGCUCCAUACAACAAGGCCGGACGGACUACCACCCUGUAAAAUUUGCCUUUAAGCUUGGGCGGCACCUUCUUAUCACACAGCACCCCCGACGCGAGCUUCCACUUCAUCCAUCCCGCCCCAAUACUGUGCGAGACAUCCUCGUCAAUCUCACCGUUACUUUGGAUCACGGACCCAAGAUACUUGAAAUUUUUCCUAUUACAUACCUCCUGUGCUUCCAGCUUCAUUACUACCUCAUUCUCCCGC